UGGGGGAUAUUGCACAAUGGGGGAAACCCUGAUGCAGCGACGCCGCGUGUAGGAAGACGGUCCUCUGGAUUGUAAACUACUGUCUUCGGGGACGAUAAUGACGGUACCCGAGGAGGAAGCUCCGGCUAACUACGUGCCAGCAGCCGCGGUAAUACGUAGGGAGCGAGCGUUGUCCGGAAUUACUGGGUGUAAAGGGAGCGUAGGCGGAUUAUUAAGUCAGUUGUGAAAGUUUGCGGCUCAACCGUAAAAUUGCAGUUGAUACUGGUAAGCUAGAGUAUAGAUGAGGUAGGCGGAAUUCGUGGUGUAGCGGUGAAAUGCUUAGAUAUCGAGAGGAACACUCGUGGCGAAGGCGGGUUCCUGGACAUUAACUGACGCUGAGGUACGAAGGCCAGGGUAGCGAAAG
Molecule: ribosomal RNA, 403 nt
Filed under: uncultured bacterium
Lineage: Bacteria
Description: bacterial SSU rRNA
Rfam family: Bacterial small subunit ribosomal RNA
Source: RNAcentral